GGUUUAUGUGUCUUAACAAAAGAACAAAACUUGAUGUUAGAUCUUAUUGAUAAGAUAGAAAGUAAAGAAGAAAAAAGAGAAAAGCUAGAAGAAUACUUGAAUCUGGUAAAGGAUAAAAGUCCUUUAGAAAAGAAAAUAGAAGAAAAACAAAGCACGUAUGAUCUUAAAGAGAUCAUGGAAAAGAUUAAAAGGGCCAAAAUGCCAAGAGAACCUACGGUAAAAGAAUUAAGGCAAGAAAUU
RNAcentral lists this unclassified non-coding RNA (240 nucleotides) under Hevea brasiliensis (rubber tree). Lineage: Eukaryota; Viridiplantae; Streptophyta; Magnoliopsida; Malpighiales; Euphorbiaceae. The record is from RNAcentral.